AUUAAUAACUAGGGGUGCUGAUAUAUCAGCUGAGAUUGGAAAAAGUGAUUUCCUAGACCCUUAUAACCUGAUUUGGCUAGUACCAACGGAGGGAAGGAUAUAUAUAAGACAA
Molecule: non-coding RNA, 112 nt
Filed under: Clostridium botulinum
Lineage: Bacteria; Bacillati; Bacillota; Clostridia; Eubacteriales; Clostridiaceae
Description: TPP sequence
Rfam family: TPP riboswitch aptamer (THI element)
About the family: Vitamin B(1) in its active form thiamin pyrophosphate (TPP) is an essential coenzyme that is synthesised by coupling of pyrimidine and thiazole moieties in bacteria.
Source: RNAcentral